This 1369-nucleotide long non-coding RNA is filed under the name Homo sapiens (human). RNAcentral describes it as "HSALNT0344293". Lineage: Eukaryota; Metazoa; Chordata; Mammalia; Primates; Hominidae. The record is from RNAcentral.
CUCCUCGGGCUUCUUGGCCCUGGGCGGAGUGGGAUUGGGUGUCCCGGCUGUUCGCAGUGGCCGCGAGUGCGGCCGGACCUGGAGUAGUACCUGAGCCGCUCUGGCCGAGCAAGGCGCGGGGCCCCGGUCUACACCGCGCUGGACCCGGCUAUGCCGUGACGGAAUUCCCGAGGCCGUAGCGCCACGCGAGACGCGCACUGGUGGCCUCCGCGGCGAGUCCUGGGGUCUCCGCAAGGCCUCAGUGCCCGAGCUGGGGACGUGCUGGGGGGAGGCCCGGCCCCGUCGCUGCCCGAGGCCCCGCUGUCCCGGCCGGACCGGCCUGGUCCCUGGCGUCCUGUCGGGUCCGCGCUGGAGGAGAGUCCCAGACAGCAGAGCCCGCGGUGCAGCUCCAGCCCCGGGAAGCCCCGCGCUCAACAGGUUAAUACUACACAGCGGCGAUUCUAAUGGUCACGCUUUUAUUUACAGCUCGCCUCCCUUCCGCCAAGAUUCACAGAACACGGCAGAGUGGCCUCGGGAUCACCUGCCCAAGACACCUGCACGACCGGAAGUUGGGAGAAGAAAUUAAGGCCAUGAUGAUGAACGCAGCCUUUCUCGUUUAUUUCCAAUCCCACAACAAACCGGAGUCCAGGAACUCAUGGGUGAUUAUCGGACUAUUACCUAGUCGUAAAACUGUGGAGCAUUGGUGUCUAAAGGAAUCUGAGACAGACCCGCAGUGUCUCCCCCACAUGCCUUAAGUCACUUCUGCCAAGCAGAAAAUCAUUUUUAAGUAAAUGUUAGUGAAAUUGGUUUUAAAAAAGAGAAGGGGCCGGGCGCGGUGGCUCACGCCUGUAAUCCUAUCCUUUAGGAGGCCGAGGUGGGCGGAUUGCCUGAGUUCAGGAGUUCGAGACCAGCCUGGGCGACACGGUGAAACCCCGUCCCUACUAAAAUACAAAAAAUUAGCCGGGCGUGGCGGCACGCGCCUGUAGUCCCAGCUACUCAGGAGGCUGAGGCAGGAGAAUGGCUUGAACUCGGGUGGGGGAGGUUGCAAUGAGCCGAGAUCGCGCCGCUGCACUCCAGCCUGGGCGACAGAGCGAGACUCUGUCUCUGAAAAAAAACAAAACAAAACGAGAAGGCUUUCAAAAUUACUCUGCGGUACACUAAUUUAACAGAUUAGAUCACUUUCCAGGCUUUAAGUUGGCCUUUGUUCUACCCUUUUUUUAGUGUAUGAUAAAAGUUGUGUUGGUUCGUUGAUCAGCAUGCAAUGAACUCUGGCUCUUGUUAAUCAGGUGACUACAGUUUUGUCCUUACAUUUGUAUGUAUGUCAUGAGUGGUUUUGUAUGGGCAGGAGGUAAACAACGCACAUUUAAAUAUACUUAAUGAUUUAUCAUUC